This 1603-nucleotide long non-coding RNA is filed under the name Homo sapiens (human). RNAcentral describes it as "HSALNT0332985". The record is from RNAcentral. Lineage: Eukaryota; Metazoa; Chordata; Mammalia; Primates; Hominidae.
GGAGCAAAGGCAUGGCAGGAGGAGAGAACUGCGUGUGUGAGGAAUAAAAACAACAUGUUGCAAUUGAGGAAGGCGUGAAUUUAUGGGGAGAAUACAGAGAUGAAGACUUAAAACGAAUGGAAGGCCAAGGAGAUGAAAUGGAAGACUUUGGACAGAACUUCUGGGAAAGCUCUUUAAAGCAGUCUACUAGACUGGCAAGCAGACAUUCAUUCUCCUCUUCUGACUUAGACAUGGUAUUUUUAGCUCCAGCAGCCGUCCUGUGAAGAUGGGAGCACACGCUAAGGGCAGCAGAAAAGAAAGCCAGAAGGAGGUUGGAUAUUGAUAACCACCGUGGUGCCAUCUUACCAGCCCUCGGCCACCUACCCCAGCCUUCCGGUUAUGAGAAAGAAAAACAAAAUUAGCUUAAGCUACUAUUAUGUAGAGGUCUCAAUUCCUAAGAGUUUAAUGCAUUUCCUUAAACACAUAUGCAUGUUGCAGAAUGCCCAGCUGGAAAUUAAACUUUUUAAAAAUUUAUUAAUUUAUUUAGAGAAGGGGAAUCUCACUAUGUUGCCCAGGCUGGCCUCAAACUCCUGGGCUCAAGUGAACCUCCUGCCUCAGCCUCCCGAGUAACUGGGACUACAGGCAUGUACCACCAUGCACGGCUGAAAUUAAACUUUGUGGGUGUUUUUCAGGUCUGGAAAAGGGGUACCAGAAAGUCAACUUGGCUUUUUCACCUGCCUAGUCCAAUCUCUUGAGCCAUCAAAAUAUCUCUCUCCAUCUUCAGUGCUGCUUAAGGUUUCUGGAGACUUACCUGGGUAGCCAAGGCUGGGAGAGUGAGGAAUAGCUCUAUUAUCUGGUAAGGAGAUUUGUAAUCAGCCCCUUCAUGUUUUCAGAAAUCCAGACAGAGCCCUAGAGAGAGACUGGGGAAGGGAAUGCAGUUGGGGCUCUAGAUUCAUGUAUUUGUAGGGAGAUUUCUAAAUAUUGUGUGUCUACUGUAUGCCAGGCAGUGUCUAGGCACUGGGGUGCAGCAAUGAAUGAAAGAUAAGAUCCCUGCCCUCAUGGAGUUUGCACUCUACUGGGGCCUGUGGAAGGAAGCUGAGCUGUGUUACAGAAUCACCCCAGUUGAGGUGACUGUGCAGGUGAAUAUGGAGACAAAAUCUACUCUCUGACCUCAGCCAGUGAGGGUGCUACAGCCUGCCAUAGAGCCCUGCACUCUUUCAGAGAGGGUUUCUCUCCCAGGCCAGCUGUCACUCUAAUCUGCCCUCCCCACUGUGAUCCCAGCUGGACACAUGGCUCACUGGUUUUUCUGUUACUUUGUAAGUGCAGAUAAGAACUCUAUUCCUCACACUUUGGGGACAGAACAGAGUAAGCUGGGGUACACUGAGCUUGGAGAAGGGGAAGUACGGGUCUGGCUAAAUAUUUAUAAAAUCUUGAUUUUUUUUCCUAAGGACAGAAGUCAAAUAGAAUAUAUACACUGAUUACAACCACUUAUUCAUUCAUUCAUUUUAUAAUGAAUAUAGAAUAUGACCAGCAAUGUGCUGGGCACUUGAUCUUAUUCACUUCCACAGAAACCCUGGGAGCAAAGUACUGUUAUCUUCAUUUUACAAACAAGGAGAUCAAUGCU